GAACGAACGCUGGCGGCAGGCUUAACACAUGCAAGUCGAACGCCCUCUUCGGAGGGAGUGGCAGACGGGUGAGUAACGCGUGGGAAUCUACCCAGCUCUACGGAAUAACUCAGGGAAACUUGUGCUAAUACCGUAUACGUCCGAUAGGAGAAAGAUUUAUCGGAGUUGGAUGAGCCCGCGUUGGAUUAGCUAGUUGGUGGGGUAAAGGCCUACCAAGGCGACGAUCCAUAGCUGGUCUGAGAGGAUGAUCAGCCACACUGGGACUGAGACACGGCCCAGACUCCUACGGGAGGCAGCAGUGGGGAAUAUUGGACAAUGGGCGCAAGCCUGAUCCAGCCAUGCCGCGUGAGUGAUGAAGGCCCUAGGGUUGUAAAGCUCUUUCACCGGUGAAGAUAAUGACGGUAACCGGAGAAGAAGCCCCGGCUAACUUCGU
This 433-nucleotide ribosomal RNA is filed under the name Bartonella sp. 'ARUP UnID 145'. RNAcentral's name for it is "bacterial SSU rRNA". It matches the Rfam family "Bacterial small subunit ribosomal RNA", at positions 27 to 506 of the family's 1533-position model. The record is from RNAcentral. Lineage: Bacteria; Pseudomonadati; Pseudomonadota; Alphaproteobacteria; Hyphomicrobiales; Bartonellaceae.